This 200-nucleotide ribosomal RNA is filed under the name uncultured bacterium. RNAcentral's name for it is "partial 16S ribosomal RNA". It matches the Rfam family "Bacterial small subunit ribosomal RNA", at positions 32 to 214 of the family's 1533-position model. The record is from RNAcentral.
AAUCAACGCUGGCGGCGUGCCUAACACAUGCAAGUCGAACGCGAAAGGGGCUUCGGCCCUGAGUAGAGUGGCGAACGGGUGAGUAACACGUGGGUGACCUACCUUCGAGUGGGGGAUAACGUCCCGAAAGGGACGCUAAUACCGCAUGACAUCCUGCCUUUGAAGAGGCGGAGAUCAAAGCCGGGGGAUCGCAAGACCUG